This 497-nucleotide ribosomal RNA is filed under the name uncultured bacterium. RNAcentral's name for it is "partial 16S ribosomal RNA". It matches the Rfam family "Bacterial small subunit ribosomal RNA", at positions 28 to 507 of the family's 1533-position model. The record is from RNAcentral.
GAUGAACGCUGGCGGCGUGCCUAAUACAUGCAAGUCGAGCGAACGGACGAGAAGCUUGCUUUUCUGAUGUUAGCGGCGGACGGGUGAGUAACACGUGGAUAACCUCCUUAUAAGACUGGGAUAACUUCGGGAAACCGGAGCUAAUACCGGAUAAUAUUUUGAACCGCAUGGUUCAAAAGUGAAAGACGGUCUUGCUGUCACUUCUAGAUGGAUCCGCGCUGCAUUAGCUAGUUGGUAAGGUAACGGCUUAUCAAGGCAACGAUGCAUAGCCGAAUUGUGAGAGUGAUCGGCCACACGGGAACUGGGACACGGUCCAUGGUCCUACGGGAGGCAGCAGUAGGGAAUCUGCCGCAAUGGGCGAAAGCCUGACGGAGCAACGCCGCGUGAGUUGUAGAGGUCUUCGGAUCGUAAAACUCUGUUACUAGGUAAGAACAUAUUUGUAAGGAACUGAGCACAGCUUGACGGUACCUAAUCAGAAAGCCACGGCUAACUACGUG